AGUCGUAACAAGGUAUCUGUAGGUGAACCUGCAGAUGGAUCAUUUCGAUGAAAACCUUUUUUCUUGAGGUGUGGCUCGCACCUGUCCAACUAAACUUGAGCUACCUUUUUUCAACACGGUUGCAUCGGUUGGCCUGUCAAACAGUGCGGAUUUUCCGCAGUGGGCGACGGACCGACACUUAAUCAACACUUUUGAUGAUCUAGGAUUUGAAUGAUAAAAGUUCAUUUUUACAAAUGAAACCGACUGGUAAUGCGGUCGUCUAAUUUUAAAAACAACUUUUGGCAACGGAUCUCUUGGUUCUCCCAUCGAUGAAGAACGCAGCGAAUUGCGAUAAGUAAUGUGAAUUGCAGAAGUGAAUCAUCGAAUCUUUGAACGCACCUUGCGCUCCCGGCAGAUCUAAUCUGGGGAGCAUGCCUGUUUGAGGGCCGCGAAUUGUUUCGAACGACAACUUUUUUUGUAACGAAGAGAGUUGGCGGAUCGGUAUUGAGGGUCUUGCCAUUCACCGUGGCUCCCUCGAAAUGCAUUAGCGCAUCCAUUUGAUAGGCAAGACGGACGAAAGCUCGAUUUUCGCUCUCUCUUCCCUGCCGGGUUUUGAUAAUAUCAGGACUUUAAAAGUCG
This 618-nucleotide ribosomal RNA is filed under the name uncultured fungus. RNAcentral's name for it is "eukaryotic LSU rRNA". The stretch from base 274 to 428 matches the Rfam family "5.8S ribosomal RNA". The record is from RNAcentral. Lineage: Eukaryota; Fungi.